This 569-nucleotide ribosomal RNA is filed under the name uncultured bacterium. RNAcentral's name for it is "partial 16S ribosomal RNA". It matches the Rfam family "Bacterial small subunit ribosomal RNA", at positions 355 to 914 of the family's 1533-position model. The record is from RNAcentral.
UGGGGAAUUUUGGACAAUGGGCGAAAGCCUGAUCCAGCAAUGCCGCGUGUGUGAAGAAGGCCUUCGGGUUGUAAAGCACUUUUGUCCGGAAAGAAAUCCUUGGCUCUAAUACAGUCGGGGGAUGACGGUACCGGAAGAAUAAGCACCGGCUAACUACGUGCCAGCAGCCGCGGUAAUACGUAGGGUGCAAGCGUUAAUCGGAAUUACUGGGCGUAAAGCGUGCGCAGGCGGUUUGCUAAGACCGAUGUGAAAUCCCCGGGCGUCAACCUGGGAACUGCAUUGGUGACUGGCAGGCUAGAGUAUGGCAGAGGGGGUAGAAUUCCACGUGUAGCAGUGAAAUGCGUAGAGAUGUGGAGGAAUACCGAUGGCGAAGGCAGCCCCCUGGCAAGUACUGACGCUCAUGCACGAAAGCGUGGGGAGCAAACNGGAUUAAUACCCUGGUAGUCCACGCCCUAAAANGAUGUCAACUAGUUGUUGGGGGAUUCAUUUUCCUUAGUAACGUAGCUAACGCGUGAAGUUGACCGCCUGGGGGAGUACGGUCGCAAGAUUAAAAACUCAAAUGAAUUGAC